UACGUAGGGUGCAAGCGUUAUCCGGAUUUACUGGGUUUAAAGGGUGCGUAGGCGGAUUUGUAAGUCAGUGGUGAAAUCUCCGGGCUUAACUCGGAAACUGCCAUUGAUACUAUCAGUCUUGAAUAUCGUGGAGGCCAGUAGAAUAUGUCAUGUAGCGGUGAAAUUCGUAGAUAUCGAGAGGAACACCUGUGGCGAAGGCGGCCACCUGGACGAGUACUGACGCUGAGACACGAAAGCGUGGGGAGCAAACAGG
RNAcentral lists this ribosomal RNA (253 nucleotides) under uncultured bacterium. RNAcentral's name for it is "partial 16S ribosomal RNA". It matches the Rfam family "Bacterial small subunit ribosomal RNA", at positions 524 to 776 of the family's 1533-position model. The record is from RNAcentral.